RNAcentral lists this ribosomal RNA (606 nucleotides) under Aggregata octopiana. RNAcentral describes it as "partial 18S ribosomal RNA". It matches the Rfam family "Eukaryotic small subunit ribosomal RNA", at positions 675 to 1279 of the family's 1831-position model. The record is from RNAcentral. Lineage: Eukaryota; Apicomplexa; Marosporida; Aggregatidae.
UUUUUAUAUAAAAGUUAUUUUAUAAUUGUUAUAAUUAUAUAAGAAAUUAUAUGUGUUUGUAUAGUAAUUUUUAUAUUUUAUUUGGAGGAAAUUAGAGUGUUUUAAGCAUGAUUUUUCAAUUGAAUAAUGGAGUAUGGAAUAUUAAAAAGGUAAUGAAAUUUAUUUAUAUGUUGGUUUUAAAGUGUUAAUUAAUAAUUUCUAAGAAUAGUUGGGGGUAUUUGUAUUUAACAGCAAGAGGUGAAAUUCUUAGAUUUGUUGAAGAUAAAUUAUUGUGAAAGCAUUUAUUAAAAAUAUUUUUUUUAAUUAAGAACAAAAGUUAGGGGAUCGAAGACGAUCAGAUACCGUCGUAGUCUUAAUUAUAAACUAUGCUGAUUAGAGAUUAGAUGUUUUUAAAUAAAUGAUUUGUUUAGUAUUUUUAGAGAAAUCGAAGUUUUUAAGUUUUGGGGGGAGUAUAGUUGCAAGAUUGAAACUUAAAGGAAUUGACGGAAAGGCACCACCAGAAGUGGAGUUUGCGGUUUAAUUUGACUCAACACAAGAAAUUUUAUUAGGUCUAGACAUAUGAAGGAUUGACAGAUUAAUAGUUUUUUUUUGAUUUUAUGGGUGGUA